CCCGGGGUUGGUGGAUCGGAGAAGGAGCGAAGAUGGCGGAGUGAGGCGUUUCCCGGGCAGCUGGCCUCCGGGCCCGGGGCGGGCCUCCCGCUUGAGGUGGAGUACUUGUGCUGGACCGCGUGAGAAACCUUAGCACAUAGGAUGAAUAUUUUCGUGACCGUAGGUGCUUUUAUAUUCAGCUCAGAAUUCUGAACUCAGGAUAUAGCAAGAGUUUCUAUGUUGUCUUCUCAGUCGGCAUCCUGGUUCUUUCAUCCAGCCACUUCCCUAGUGGAGUGCGGAUGUUUUCUACAGAUACCUCCGUGGUUUGGAAUGGAGACUGCACCAAGAAGCCCAAGGGUGCAGCUGUCCUGCUGACUUCAAGAGGACACCGACCGGCCUGGCUAUUCUGUUGCACUUGGCUUCAGUAGAAAGACACCGUUUGCAAGUGGAAGGAAGAUGGUUAAUUUGAACAGGUGCUUAGGUUAUGCAUCGUGGACUCUUCCUUUUAAAGCUCCAAACAACAAAUCAAAUACCAAAUGUGGGUGACUUCAGGUUUUGUUUUGUUUUGUUUUUUUUAAGUCUGCCAGUUUUAACACUAUUAUAAGCACAGUAAAGACUAAUAGUAAAUUCCAAAUAUCAUUAUUAUUUGAGGUGAAAGAAACAUCUAAAUCCUGAUUUACCCUUUGACAGAUUUCCUGAACGAAAACAAGUCUCCAGUAUGAUAAAAGCAAAAGGCAAGAAUGAUAUCAGGGUUGGUUUCAUAUGGGAGUGAAACCAUUGCAGUUUGUGUGCAGAUUCACAUUUUUAUGUGUAUAAAACCACAUUUUUUAAAUAAGAUUUUUCUCCUGGAAAAGGAAGCUGUCAUUUAUGAAAAGGCGUUGGACAGUUUGAUGGUCUUUAGUGUUUGGAUUUUGUCUGUUUUGCUUUUUCAUCCUUCUCAGGAAGGACCAGCUGGGCCUGCGGCUAGUUCCGAGUGGGAAGAGAAUAAGCUGGGGUGAUGCUUGCCUCAGGCUGUCUGUGCUUGGGUGGCUGAGGCAGCAAGAUCAGAAGUCCAGGUCCAGCUUGGGCCACAUGGAGAGACUCCAUCUCAAGAACAGCAGAAAAGAAAAAUAAAACACCACUCUUUUGUUUCUCGAGGUUGUAUUCUUGUGGGAUCACAUGUAUCAAUGAGACUUUGGUUUUCCAUGUGACUGUGACUGGAAAGAAAAUGGCAUGUGUGUUAUGUGAUGGACCUGGAUAGUGUCACUUGCCUUCAACUUGGGGUAUUCAGGAGUGAAGGAAAAAUAACUCGGCUUAUAAAUCCUUUCUUCUAAGAAAAAGAAGCAACAAUGUCUUAUGUAGCAUCAUCUGACAUUUCAGCAUUUUUAAAUUAUGUACUUGCAUUUUUAUAAAAGCAUAAAUAACUUUUCCUUCAUCCCAAGAUGGGUACUUAGACAUUUAUUUUUCUAGGCGAUAACUUUAGGCUGAAAUUCUGGGACUCAGGUAAAUUUUCCCAGUUUGAAUUGAACUUUCUUACCAGAAAAUGGACCUCAGAAGCAAUGUUUCCAGUCCUAUGGUCAGUUCACUAUAUUCUUAGAAGAAAUUCAGGAUCUGAACAAAACUUCAAAUAAAAGCAGGUCCAAUAAAAAGUAUGGAUCUUGUUGCCAGUCACUGUAGAUUUAAAGGAAAUUCAGGUUCGGGGAUGGAGAGACCUCAAGAAAACUAGUUCCCAUAAGAAAUGAUACAUGUUUGUUUUUUCCUUUAACUAACAGUUAUGAGGAACCAUCAUGAAAACUUCUCUUUGCUUCCAAAUCAAAGAAGUCCAUUUUAUGGGAUGCCAGGCUUUUACAAGGGAGGGAACUGUUGUUUGCAGUGGUUGCCAGUAGAGAAGGAAUUUUAAACUUGCAAGAUAACUUAGAAACAGGUGCUGUUAGAGCUGAUUUCUGGAACCAUUUCUCAGUGUUGUGAAUUUGAGUCAUAGAAAUGAUCAAAAGUAGGAAAUGUUGAACAAUCUAAUGGCUAGUCAAAUUGGACAACAAAUUUGAAUUUAUACUGAAAGCUUUUUCAUAAAACACUUAUUAUAAAUAACUUUUUUCUUUUAGUUUUUUGAAUCAGGGUUUCUGUGUAGCUUUGGAGCCUGUCCUGGAACUAGCUCUGUAGACCAGGCUGGUCUCGAACUCACAGAGAUCCACCUGCCCCUGCCUCCCGAGUGCUGAGAUUAAAGGCCUGCGUCACCACCACCCAGUUUAUAAAUAACUUUUUAGUGAGAUCAAACAAUGAUAAAGCUCUAGAGAAAAGAGUUAAAGGUAACCUAGAUUGCUGGACUUGGUAUCCCGCACCUUUGAGCCACAGUAUUUUGGGUGUUGAGGCAGGAGGAUUGGCCACAAGAUCAAGGCCAGCCUCAAUGACAGACCCGGUAUAAAAAUGAAGCAAAAAUAUAACCUCAAUUUUUCUCUUUAAGUACUCCAGCCACUUAUGUUUUCAUUUAGAAGAAAUGGAAGCCAGCUGGUGACUGAGAGCAUCUCACAGAUGCCUGAUUCCUCCUACACCUUGCUUUUGGGCAACUUUGUGGGGUAAGGCCCACAGGCAGGGCUUUCACCACAAAGGCGAUGUCACCUUUGCUCCAGAUGCUUCAGGUUUGUAGCCUAAACCUCCAAAUGUUGAGUGCACUUUGUCAAAGAUGCUCUUGUGUCCUGCAUUGUUAGCACCAGAUGGCAUUUUCAGCCUGGGGACAUUGCAGCUGUAGUUACCUGGUGUGUGGUACAUUUCCAUUUUAUAGUCUUGCUUGGGUUUUCUUAAUAGCAGCAAAAACUACCAUUUUAGAGCUGUGCUUCCAUCUGUAGCCAUGCCUCCUCCCUUCUCCAUGUGAGCUGGCAGUUUUUCUUUUGGAGUUACUAAACAAAAACGGGAUAUGUGCAAUAUAAAUAUAUAUAUAUAUAUAUGUGUAUAUUUUAAUACUUGUGGACGAGUGUUACAAGUCGUUAAAGAACAACAAAAUCACCAAUGUCUUCCAUUUUGAGAUGUGUAUAGUUUUGUAAGCAGUAGUGUUUGGUAGCAUAUUGUAGUGCCAUGUUAGGGGUUAGUGCAUGAAUUUAGUAUCAUUUUUAAACUUCAGGAUGAAAUAUUGAUAAUAGCUAAUAGUGUAAAAAGAGUGGAAAAUCCUAGACCUUUGCUUUUCCCAUGUAUGAAAAUAAUGUAUUUUCCCUGGGGAUAGGAGAUAAAGGCCAAAACAACUAAUGUCUGAACAGAAAUGUGGGUUCACAUUGAAAAACAUUGUGCGCGGGGAAAUGUUAGCCUUUCACGAGGUAUCUAGAAAUAACUGCCUUUGUAGCUUUUCAGUCCUCAAAGCAUGGCCUCAUCCCAUGAUUGUCUUGCUCUCUCAGUUUGAAGCUAGCUUGUUCUUAUAUUAUCGUCGUAUUGUAUGUCUUGGAUUCAUUUUCCCUAUUUUGUGUCCAGAGAAUUAUUUUCUACUUCGCAUGUCCAAGAUGCUGUGCUAAUUGCUUUGGAAUGAUUAAUUUGUGGCCGUUUCCUUUCCUGUUUGCAGCAUGUGUGCUAAUUGCAGAACCUUGUCAGCAGUUUGGAGUAUCCUGAACUUUAGGCUUUUUUUCUACUUUCCUUAUGGAAAUAAAGUAGUUGCUUUGUUUUGAAAAAGAAAGUUCUCUGUAAAAUGGAAUUCCUACCUCUAAAAGCUGCCUAGGAAACUUGGAAGUAACAGUUUUAUGAGUGUCGAGGGUUCUUUUUGGGGGGGAGGGGUGUGGUUAUUUUAACUUUAGAAUUAGAGUCCCGCCAGGUGUGGUGGUGCAUGCCUGUAAUCCCAGCAUUUGGGACACGGAGGCAAGAUCAGGGGUUCAAGGUAAUCCUUUGCUACAUAGUGAGCUGGAGUUCAGCCUGAGCUACAUGAGAUCCUAUCUCAGAAAACCAAAAGAAGGAAAGAAAAGAGAACCUAGGACUUAUUAAUUGUAUUAUAUUGGUAUGAUAGAAAACGUAAAACUUUUUAAUGGGACUUUUUUUCCCCACACAAACUAGGUAUGAAUCUAGUAUUACCUAUCCAGGGACCCAGGAAUAGAUCCUUGUAGAAUAUCAAGUGGUGGUUAGCUUUUGAAAACCAUUUAAAUUUAAGAAACGGGAGGGGGGGGUGUCUUGAAAAAUUAAUGCAUAUAGAGUAGCACAGUAUAUAGGAAAGAAUAUUUCCUAUUGCAAAAAAUAAAAGCCAUAAAUGAACUAAAAAUGUUGAAGAGUUGGAACUUAGUAGCAAUAACAGUUUUGCGUGUAUAGUAAAUUGUGUUCACAAAGCUGCAUGAUUGAGUGAUUAAUAUUUGAGUUUGUGAGCCUCUGCAGUCUUACAGAGUCCACAAAAGGAAAAAAGUCCUAGGUUUAAAAGCAUUUAAACUAUGAAUAUAUGUAUAUGAAUAUAUUUGCGUGAAAAAUAUCAACUUUCAUGUGCGUUAAAGACAGUUUUCCCAGAGUUUACAUCUAGUGCUUAAUCUGGAAGCAGAUGUGCUUCUCCAGUCCCAAUGAAACCACCUUCAUUAACAGUCACUUACUGUGUGGGAUGACGUAUGCUUUGUAACAUUUGUUCAUUGCAUUCCUAGCUGCUCUAUCAAAAAGAAAAGUUUGUUUUUGUGUGGUUGGGGGAGGGGGGCAGAGUGGAGCGCUUCCAGAACUUGCUGGCUUUUCUUUGUACUUGGGAUCAAGGAAGUUAGGAAUUAAAGGUAAACAAAAUGGCUGGGCAGUCCCCAGACUGGAUUUAUCUGUAUGUCUUAUAUAUGUAUGUGAUGAAGCUAUGGCCUGUGUGCGACUGCAUAUUUUUUAACAAGGAAAACCCAGCAAACUCAUUCUUUCUUGAUUUGAGGACUCCCACAGCUCACAUCAAGACGUAAGAGUGGAACUGGGCUGACUCCUCCCUUCCUUUACCUCAUGUCCAUUGUGGCCACUUGAACAUCUGAAAAGAUCUAGGACUGGGUUCCUUUGUUUUCCCAGGGGAAAAAAGUAAAGGAGUAGUUUUGUAGAUCUCAGACUCUAAUGAAUUAUUUUAUUACAAGCCUAAGGGUAGGGGAAAAGGCUAUACUGAGCAUAGUUUCUCUUUAAAUGUCCUGUACUGUCCAUGUUAGGUUAUGGGACAACCAAGCAAUAUUAAGACAGCUGCAUGAUCAUGGAGACAUGGCUUCAUUCAGUUACAUCAGAGAUUACCCUUAACAGCCAUGUUCUAAGUGUAAAACUAUGUUACGAGAUUUUGUCGUCUCAAAGAAUGUGGUUAAUUAGUAUUCAAUCUUCCUAUAGUCUCUUGUUUACUCUUUAUGUACCUGUGAUAUGCAAAAUAUGAAGAGACCCCCCUAGCCUUCAGGAGUUUACAUUCUCAUGGUGCUGUAGGUGCAAGCAAACUGUCUCUAAUUUAUUUAGAACAUCGCUUGGCUAUUAAUUAUACCAUUUUGGAAGAACCCCUUGGCCAAGAGUUUUAAAAUGCAGAGGGCUAUGCUAAAUUUCAGGGCAUUACUGCUUGAGUUUACAUUGUUGUAACUCUGCUCCUAACUUUCCCCGGGGAGCUGUUCAUUAAUGUGAAUCAGAAAAGAAACCAUUCUGCCUAAGUAUCCUCACUACCCCUAUAGCUCUCAGUAAGUGGUCAACAAAACUUUCUGCUCUGUAUAGACAGUCACCUCGGUUCUUUUUCCCAGGGCUUUAAACUUAUUCUUUACCCUCAAAGGGCCAGGAUUUCUAGCUAAGCCUUUUAGAACUGAAUAGAAGUCUUAAGUUUAGUCUUUUUGUAUAUGACUUGUUUCUGUUUUAAAGCAGCAUUGUAGUAGAUGUAGUACCUGACUGCAUCUCUGAGGAAUUUGACUGACAUAUUCAGUUGAAGUUUUGCAUGUAUCAUUGCUUUUCCCACAGUUCUGAAUCAAAGGGUUUGCAUGUUUAUUAAAGCCAGGCCUGGUCAAAAGUAUAAGCAAUAGUAGCAGGCCCAUAACUGAUUUUAGAAUGCUAGCAUUCUAAUGCAUGGUUGAAGUUUUUCAUUUUUAGGUAGUUACUAGCAAUUUUCUACAUGCGUUUAUCAAUAAUGAAGCAAUAGAUUCUUAAACCAAUAGCUUGGUUUUAUUUGAAUUAUUUUCUAAUUAUAGAUUGUCUUCCCUUGAAAAAUGGGAAGUACAAGAUAAAUAAGGGGCAAUCUUAAGACAUUCAAACUGUUAGGAAUACAGCAAGCAGUGCUCACUGUUUCCUAGCUCUAUUUAUUCCCAAGCAUGUUUGCAAAUAAAAGAUAAACUGAGCAUGUUGAAUAAGAUGCUAUAAACAGGAUGGUGCAGGCUUUUAGAAGAGUCGGGAAAUAACCUAAAUAGGGUCACCUUACUUCAGAAAUAAGUGUUCAGUGUGCAAAACAACUAGCUGUGGGACUUGUCUGAUUAGGUUUAUAUAGACUUAGUUUGGUGUUUCUUAAAACUAUAGAUUAAGCCAGACAUAUGCUCUGUAGUCCCUGAACAGGCAGAAGCCAGCCUGAGUGCCAUAGCUGGACUCCUUCACAAAUUAGUAUCUUGGAGGUGUAUAGUAUCAGUGUGCACAUACUUGCAUUUUUCAGCAGUGAGGCGUCUGUUCUGGAAGGGACCCAGCACUAAGAGGGACUCCAGAGUUACAGAAGUACUGCCAUUCCUGUAUCUGCAACUGUUGAGCUAGAGUUUUACUUUAGAUGAGUUGGUCAACGUGUGGAUCUUGCCUAAAACUUUUGGUUCCUGAUGAGCAGGAAAAGUUUCUCUUCUUCCAAAAAAAGACAUUUAUGGGUGAAAAGACAUUGGUUUGUGAUAGCAGUAAAAGGAGCAGAAGUGUGAACUGGUGGGAGAGCAUCUACCUGAGAAAAUGGGUUCAGUUGCCAGCACUACCAAAAACCAUGGUGGUCACAUAAGAAUUUCUUAGAUUUCUUGACUUGGGAAUGAUCCAAGUAACAAAUAGUUUUGACAAAUAAUGAGUAUUUAUAAUGUGUGAAAGACCUAAAUUAAAAUAAAACUGUUUCACUGAGUUUACUCCAAUUUACAUGUUCUAUGAUGGAAAUUUACUUUAACGUGUGCUGUGGUGCUUUGCUAUGGAUGUCACCUAGGAUGGUAAUUUCCAUCAUUCAGAACUGGAUUAGAGUUGUCAGUGUGGUGUUUGCCUCCCACCAGAAUACAAGAAUUGAGGUGUGUAAUGUGUCCCGAAUAGAAAUGUUCUUUGCACUUACUGAUAUAUCUGCCGGCCAGUAAAGAUGUAAGGUCAGAGUUUUUAAUUCUAACACUCUUCCUAAUAGUCCACUAAAAUAAAUUAAAACAUCACACAGGAAAAUUAACUGUGUAUUUGGUAGAGCUCAGACUUAUAAACACCUUUAAAGUCAGACUAUGGGUAUGAUUACUGAUGAUUUACAAAACAGUUUUGAUACCUUUGGUAAUGGUGUUCUGUGUCCUUAAUUUAAAUGUGGUUUUGUUUUGUUUUUUGCAUUGGAUAUAGCUCUUGAACACUGGGGCCAGUCCUCAGCACUGAUACCUUAUCCCAAGGAUCAGACAGAUACUCUGUCAGCAUGUUACUAGUCUGGGCAUUAACCAUAAACCACCCAUCCCUAUAAUUAAAAAGGAUUAAGAAUACUCAAGUAAUCUACUGGAGAGUGAUGCAUCUGCCCUUCAGGCACAGGUGUUGCUGUUCGCUCGCUCUUCCAUGUGCCGUACCCCCAUUGCUCCACUGGUGUGUGAGGCGAUGUGGAAAGAGCUGCCCUUCAAAAGGCAGCUUCUCAAUCUAUGCAUCCUUGGGAGUUGUGAACAAAUCUUGACUCUUUGGAAAAGGAACUGUUGUGAGUGUGAAACUGCACCUGUAUGUAUAUGUUUUUAGCAAUAAAGCAUGAGCUGAGAAUGCA
Molecule: long non-coding RNA, 7816 nt
Organism: Microtus oregoni (creeping vole)
Lineage: Eukaryota; Metazoa; Chordata; Mammalia; Rodentia; Cricetidae
Exons: 3
Source: RefSeq, a predicted model, not a curated record